CCUACGGGCGGCUGCAGUGGGGAAUAUUGGACAAUGGGCGAAAGCCUGAUCCAGCCAUGCCGCGUGUGUGAAGAAGGCCUUCGGGUUGUAAAGCACUUUCAGUGGGGAAGAAAGCCUUGGGGCUAAUACCCUCGAGGAAGGACAUCACCCACAGAAGAAGCACCGGCUAACUCCGUGCCAGCAGCCGCGGUAAUACGGAGGGUGCGAGCGUUAAUCGGAAUUACUGGGCGUAAAGCGCGCGUAGGCGGUCUGAUAAGCCGGUUGUGAAAGCCCCGGGCUCAACCUGGGAACGGCAUCCGGAACUGUCAGGCUAGAGUGCAGGAGAGGAAGGUAGAAUUCCCGGUGUAGCGGUGAAAUGCGUAGAGAUCGGGAGGAAUACCAGUGGCGAAGGCGGUCUUCUGGACUGACACUGACGCUGAGGUGCGAAAGCGUGGGUAGCAAACAGGAUUAGAUACCCCUGUAGUC
Molecule: ribosomal RNA, 465 nt
Filed under: Vreelandella stevensii
Lineage: Bacteria; Pseudomonadati; Pseudomonadota; Gammaproteobacteria; Oceanospirillales; Halomonadaceae
Description: partial 16S ribosomal RNA
Rfam family: Bacterial small subunit ribosomal RNA
Source: RNAcentral